RNAcentral lists this transfer RNA (64 nucleotides) under Plectrocnemia tortosa. Its description in RNAcentral is "tRNA-Asp". Lineage: Eukaryota; Metazoa; Arthropoda; Insecta; Trichoptera; Polycentropodidae. The record is from RNAcentral.
UAAAAAUUAGUUAAAUUUUAAUAACAUAAAUUUGUCAAAUUUAAAUUAGUUUUACUAUUUUUAU